GAUGAACGCUAGCUACAGGCUUAACACAUGCAAGUCGAGGGGUAACGAGAGGAAAGCUUGCUUUCCUUGUCGACGACCGGCGCACGGGUGAGUAACGCGUAUCCAACCUGCCCCCAACUAGGGAAUAACCUUGCGAAAGUAAGACUAAUACCCUAUAAUUUCCUCAGAUGUCAUCUGACGAGGAAUAAAGAUUUAUCGGUUGUGGAUGGGGAUGCGUCUGAUUAGCUUGUUGGCGGGGUAACGGCCCACCAAGGCAACGAUCAGUAGGGGUUCUGAGGGGAAGGUCCCCCCCAUUGGAACUGAGACACGGUCCAAACUCCUACGGGAGGCAGCAGUGAGGAAUAUUGGUCAAUGGGCGAAAGCCUGAACCAGCCAAGUAGCGUGCAGGAUGACGGCCCUAUGGGUUGUAAACUGCUUUUAUACAGGAAUAAAGUUAGCCACGUGUGGUUAUUUGUAGGUACUGUAUGAAUAGGGACCGGCUAAUUCCGUGCCAGCCGCCGCCGUAA
Molecule: ribosomal RNA, 506 nt
Filed under: uncultured bacterium
Lineage: Bacteria
Description: partial 16S ribosomal RNA
Rfam family: Bacterial small subunit ribosomal RNA
Source: RNAcentral